This 492-nucleotide ribosomal RNA is filed under the name uncultured bacterium. Its description in RNAcentral is "bacterial SSU rRNA". It matches the Rfam family "Bacterial small subunit ribosomal RNA", at positions 355 to 861 of the family's 1533-position model. The record is from RNAcentral.
UGGGGAAUCUUGCACAAUGGGCGAAAGCCUGAUGCAGCAACGCCGCGUGCGGGAAGACAGCCCUAGGGUUGUAAACCGCUUUCAGCAGGGAAGAAACUGACGGUACCUGCAGAAGAAGGUGCGGCCAACUACGUGCCAGCAGCCGCGGUGACACGUAGGCACCAAGCGUUAUCCGGAUUUAUUGGGCGUAAAGAGCUCGUAGGCGGUUCGGUAAGUCGGGUGUGAAAUCCAAGGCUCAACCUUGGGACGCCACCCGAUACUGCUGUGACUCGAGUGCAGUAGGGGAGCAGGGAAUUCCUGGUGUAGCGGUGAAAUGCGCAGAUAUCAGGAGGAACACCAGUGGCGAAGGCGCUGCUCUGGGCCGUAACUGACGCUGAGGAGCGAAAGCAUGGGUAGCAAAACAGGAUUAGAUACCCUGGUAGUCCAUGCCGUAAACGUUGGGCACUAGGUGUGGGUCUCAACCAACGAGAUCCGCGCCGUCGCUAACGCACU